AACUUCUGGCCUAUAUUCAUUAACAUUCAUUAUGGUUUUCUGUAUUUCCUAAAUCAGGCUAUACUAGCACUGCCUAUUUAAAAUUCUGAAACUUUUUAUUAACUUCCUGUGUUAUUAGCAUUUUGCAUACCAAUUUGGUUCCUUAUGUGAAGUUAUCAUUUUUUUCUUUCUGGCAGGGAGGCUUUAUUCUCGAUAUGGGUGUGCAUUUCAUUGCGGGGUUAAGAAUGGUAAUAUUCAAAAUUUUACUGUCUAAUUCACAGACAAUUUUAUUCAUUAACUUGUGUUCUUCUGUAUUUCCUAAUGCAA
RNAcentral lists this long non-coding RNA (306 nucleotides) under Lathyrus oleraceus (garden pea). RNAcentral describes it as "Pisum sativum (pea) long non-coding RNA (PSAT_LNC013905)". The record is from RNAcentral. Lineage: Eukaryota; Viridiplantae; Streptophyta; Magnoliopsida; Fabales; Fabaceae.